RNAcentral lists this long non-coding RNA (238 nucleotides) under Mytilus galloprovincialis (Mediterranean mussel). The record is from RNAcentral. Lineage: Eukaryota; Metazoa; Mollusca; Bivalvia; Mytilida; Mytilidae.
AUGCAGCAGCAGUAAGAAGAAGAUAUGUUUCAGAAAAGUAAACAUUUGCCGUUUAAACAGCCGGUUCCAAUUCCGAAUAAAGGAGGAGGGAAGUCAGUUUUCUUCUAAUUGGCGCAAUCGUAUGUUUUAUUUUUGGCGCAAAUGAUACCAUGUAAUUUUAAAACAUGUGGCGCAAACGUAGCAAUGGAGAAAAAAAGUUGUGGCGCAAAAGGAUGCAUUUUUGGCGCAAACGGAUCUC